Molecule: ribosomal RNA, 1541 nt
Filed under: Klebsiella pneumoniae
Lineage: Bacteria; Pseudomonadati; Pseudomonadota; Gammaproteobacteria; Enterobacterales; Enterobacteriaceae
Description: bacterial SSU rRNA
Rfam family: Bacterial small subunit ribosomal RNA
Source: RNAcentral
AAAUUGAAGAGUUUGAUCAUGGCUCAGAUUGAACGCUGGCGGCAGGCCUAACACAUGCAAGUCGAGCGGUAGCACAGAGAGCUUGCUCUCGGGUGACGAGCGGCGGACGGGUGAGUAAUGUCUGGGAAACUGCCUGAUGGAGGGGGAUAACUACUGGAAACGGUAGCUAAUACCGCAUAAUGUCGCAAGACCAAAGUGGGGGACCUUCGGGCCUCAUGCCAUCAGAUGUGCCCAGAUGGGAUUAGCUAGUAGGUGGGGUAACGGCUCACCUAGGCGACGAUCCCUAGCUGGUCUGAGAGGAUGACCAGCCACACUGGAACUGAGACACGGUCCAGACUCCUACGGGAGGCAGCAGUGGGGAAUAUUGCACAAUGGGCGCAAGCCUGAUGCAGCCAUGCCGCGUGUGUGAAGAAGGCCUUCGGGUUGUAAAGCACUUUCAGCGGGGAGGAAGGCGGUGAGGUUAAUAACCUCAUCGAUUGACGUUACCCGCAGAAGAAGCACCGGCUAACUCCGUGCCAGCAGCCGCGGUAAUACGGAGGGUGCAAGCGUUAAUCGGAAUUACUGGGCGUAAAGCGCACGCAGGCGGUCUGUCAAGUCGGAUGUGAAAUCCCCGGGCUCAACCUGGGAACUGCAUUCGAAACUGGCAGGCUAGAGUCUUGUAGAGGGGGGUAGAAUUCCAGGUGUAGCGGUGAAAUGCGUAGAGAUCUGGAGGAAUACCGGUGGCGAAGGCGGCCCCGACAAAGACUGACGCUCAGGUGCGAAAGCGUGGGGAGCAAACAGGAUUAGAUACCCGGUAGUCCACGCCGUAAACGAUGUCGAUUUGGAGGUUGUGCCCUUGAGGCGUGGCUUCCGGAGCUAACGCGUUAAAUCGACCGCCCGGGAGUACGGCCGCAAGGUUAAAACUCAAAUGAAUUGACGGGGCCCGCACAAGCGGUGGAGCAUGUGGUUUAAUUCGAUGCAACGCGAAGAACCUUACCUGGUCUUGACAUCCACAGAACUUAGCAGAGAUGCUUUGGUGCCUUCGGGAACUGUGAGACAGGUGCUGCAUGGCUGUCGUCAGCUCGUGUUGUGAAAUGUUGGGUUAAGUCCCGCAACGAGCGCAACCCUUAUCCUUUGUUGCCAGCGGUCCGGCCGGGAACUCAAAGGAGACUGCCAGUGAUAAACUGGAGGAAGGUGGGGAUGACGUCAAGUCAUCAUGGCCCUUACGACCGGGCUACACGUGCUACAAUGGCAUAUACAAAGAGAAGCGACCUCGCGAGAGCAAGCGGACCUCAUAAAGUAUGUCGUAGUCCGGAUUGGAGUCUGCAACUCGACUCCAUGAAGUCGGAAUCGCUAGUAAUCGUAGAUCAGAAUGCUACGGUGAAUACGUUCCCGGGCCUUGUACACACCGCCCGUCACACCAUGGGAGUGGGUUGCAAAAGAAGUAGGUAGCUUAACCUUCGGGAGGGCGCUUACCACUUUGUGAUUCAUGACUGGGGUGAAGUCGUAACAAGGUAACCGUAGGGGAACCUGCGGUUGGAUCACCUCCUUACCUUAAAGAA